Molecule: ribosomal RNA, 472 nt
Filed under: uncultured bacterium
Lineage: Bacteria
Description: partial 16S ribosomal RNA
Rfam family: Bacterial small subunit ribosomal RNA
Source: RNAcentral
GACGAACGCUGGCGGCGUGCUUAACACAUGCAAGUCGAACGCUGAAGCUUGGUGCUUGCACUGGGUGGAUGAGUGGCGAACGGGUGAGUAAUACGUGAGUAACCUGCCCUUGACUCUGGGAUAAGCCUGGGAAACUGGGUCUAAUACUGGAUACGACAUGUCACCGCAUGGUGGUGUGUGGAAAGGGUUUUACUGGUUUUGGAUGGGCUCACGGCCUAUCAGCUUGUUGGUGGGGUAAUGGCUCACCAAGGCGACGACGGGUAGCCGGCCUGAGAGGGUGACCGGCCACACUGGGACUGAGACACGGCCCAGACUCCUACGGGAGGCAGCAGUGGGUAAUAUUGCACAAUGGGCGGAAGCCUGAUGCAGCGACGCCGCGUGAGGGAUGACGGCCUUCGGGUUGUAAACCUCUUUCAGCACGGAAGAAGCGAAAGUGACGGUACGUGCAGAAGAAGCGCCGGCUAACUACGUG